This 536-nucleotide ribosomal RNA is filed under the name Sipunculus nudus (marine worm). Its description in RNAcentral is "partial 16S ribosomal RNA". It matches the Rfam family "Bacterial large subunit ribosomal RNA", at positions 1797 to 2620 of the family's 2925-position model. The record is from RNAcentral. Lineage: Eukaryota; Metazoa; Annelida; Sipuncula; Golfingiida; Sipunculidae.
CGCCUGUUUAUCAAAAACAUCGCCUUUUGUCACCUAAUAAAAUAAAGGUCCAACCUGCCCAGUGAACCACUUCAACGGCCGCGGUACCCUGACCGUGCUAAGGUAGCAGCAAUCACUUGCCCUUUAAUUGGGGGCUAGUAUGAAUGGUCAAACGAGGGUGAAGCUGUCUCAUUGAGACUCCACUAAAAAUUAUCCUUCACGUGAAGAGACCUGAUUACAAUAAAAAGACGAGAAGACCCUGUCAAGCUUUACACUACUCGAGCUCAUCACCCACUUGCUCGCCCACGUGUUUUGUUGGGGCAACACAGGAACACACUCUUCCUUAUUACCUCUUACACUCAAGCAAACAAUCCGACACAGUCGAACAAAGACAAAGCUACUGCAGGGAUAACAGGCUAAUCUGCUUCGAGAGCCCACAUUGACAAGCAGGCUUGGCACCUCGAUGUUGGCUUAAGAACCCCGGUUGGGGCAGCCCCCAACCUAAGGAGGUUUGUUCAACCUAUAAUUUCUUACGUGAUCUGAGUUCCCAGACCGGA